CUUCCGUAGGGGUAACCUGCGGAAGGAUCAUUACCUAGAGUUUGUAGACUUCGGUCUGCUACCUCUUACCCAUGUCUUUUGAGUACCUUCGUUUCCUCGGCGGGUCCGCCCGCCGAUUGGACAACAUUCAAACCCUUUGCAGUUGCAAUCAGCGUCUGAAAAAACAUAAUAGUUACAACUUUCAACAACGGAUCUCUUGGUUCUGGCAUCGAUGAAGAACGCAGCGAAAUGCGAUAAGUAGUGUGAAUUGCAGAAUUCAGUGAAUCAUCGAAUCUUUGAACGCACAUUGCGCCCCUUGGUAUUCCAUGGGGCAUGCCUGUUCGAGCGUCAUUUGUACCUUCAAGCUCUGCUUGGUGUUGGGUGUUUUGUCUCGCCUCUGCGUGUAGACUCGCCUUAAAACAAUUGGCAGCCGGCGUAUUGAUUUCGGAGCGCAGUACAUCUCGCGCUUUGCACUCAUAACGGCGACGUCCAAAAGUACAUUUUUACACUCUUGACCUCGGAUCAGGUAGGGAUACCCGCUGAACUUAAGCAUAUCAAAGGCCGGAGGAA
Molecule: ribosomal RNA, 549 nt
Filed under: Epicoccum nigrum
Lineage: Eukaryota; Fungi; Ascomycota; Dothideomycetes; Pleosporales; Didymellaceae
Description: eukaryotic LSU rRNA
Rfam family: 5.8S ribosomal RNA (bases 177-330)
Source: RNAcentral